GUGGGGAAUUUUGGACAACGGGCGCAAGCCUGAUCCAGCCAUGCCGCGUGCAGGAUGAAGGCCUUCGGGUUGUAAACUGCUUUUGUACGGAACGAAAAGGUGCCUUCUAAUAAAGGGCGCUCAUGACGGUACCGUAAGAAUAAGCACCGGCUAACUACGUGCCAGCAGCCGCGGUAAUACGUAGGGUGCGAGCGUUAAUCGGAAUUACUGGGCGUAAAGCGUGCGCAGGCGGUUUUGUAAGACAGAGGUGAAAUCCCCGGGCUCAACCUGGGAAAUGCCUUUGUGACUGCAAGGCUGGAGUGCGGCAGAGGGGGAUGGAAUUCCGCGUGUAGCAGUGAAAUGCGUAGAUAUGCGGAGGAACACCGAUGGCGAAGGCAAUCCCCUGGGCCUGCACUGACGCUCAUGCACGAAAGCGUGGGGAGCAAACAGGAUUAGAUACCCCAGUAGUCC
Molecule: ribosomal RNA, 450 nt
Filed under: uncultured bacterium
Lineage: Bacteria
Description: partial 16S ribosomal RNA
Rfam family: Bacterial small subunit ribosomal RNA
Source: RNAcentral